CCUACGGGGGGCAGCAGUGGGGAAUAUUGCGCAAUGGGCGAAAGCCUGACGCAGCGACGCCGCGUGAGGGAUGAAGGUCUUCGGAUCGUAAACCUCUGUCAGCAGGGAAGAACGGUCACUGUGCUAAUCAGCAGUGAAUUGACCGUACCUGCAAAGGAAGCACCGGCUAACUCCGUGCCAGCAGCCGCGGUAAGACGGAGGGUGCGAGCGUUAAUCGGUAUUACUGGGCGUAAAGCGCUCGUAGGCGGUAUGUCAAUUCAAGGGUGAAAUCCCCGGGCUCAACGUGGGAACUGCCUUUGAAACUGGCAGACUGGAGUGUGUGAGAGGAUAGUGGAAUUCCAGGUGUAGGAGUGAAAUCCGUAGAUAUCUGGAGGAACAUCAGUGGCGAAGGCGGCUAUCUGGCACAUAACUGACGCUGAGGAGCGAAAGCGUGGGUAGCAAACAGGAUUAGAUACCCUGGUAGUC
RNAcentral lists this ribosomal RNA (465 nucleotides) under uncultured bacterium. RNAcentral describes it as "partial 16S ribosomal RNA". It matches the Rfam family "Bacterial small subunit ribosomal RNA", at positions 338 to 795 of the family's 1533-position model. The record is from RNAcentral.